This is a long non-coding RNA of Alosa sapidissima (American shad), 550 nucleotides long. RefSeq lists it as uncharacterized. The transcript has 3 exons. Lineage: Eukaryota; Metazoa; Chordata; Actinopteri; Clupeiformes; Clupeidae. The record is from RefSeq and is a predicted model, not a curated record.
CGACCUUGGACUGGCCCUUGAACUCCAGCUUCUCAGUCCUGAUCUCCACUCUCCCACCACCUGCACCCAGACAGAUUUCAACAUCUUGCCGAGACAAGUUUCAGAGCAUUCCACAGAGGACCACCAAAGUGACACAGAGCUUCCUGGCCACAUGUGUGCUGUUGCUAUGAAGAAUCAAGCUCAAGCAAUCCCAGAGUUUCACAGCUGGGAGUGUGACUGUGAGAGUGUACCAGCUCGCUCCAUCACCAAGACUCAACAAGCCCAGCAUGCCAGAAUGCAGUCUCAUUAUCAAAGCUCAGCUCAUUUUUUGCCAUCAGCAGAACGAUGGAUCUAAGUGCAAUAGACCCAUGUGCAGAAUGAUGUGAUUAUCCAACAAUCCCAACACUUGGCCAGCACAGAUUCUGGCUCUAGAUUUUCAGUUGCUUAAGUUCUCGCAACCUUUGAUUAAACUGCUUCAACAAUGCAACAAAGCACUGGCUGCCAACUUGAACUUGUUUACCCUGGCGGUGCCGUUUCAUCCUAUAACACAAGUCCUAUUGACAACAAGUCA